This is a non-coding RNA of Trichonephila clavipes, 73 nucleotides long. The record is from the annotation of a GenBank genome assembly. NCBI's taxonomy places the organism in Eukaryota, Metazoa, Arthropoda, Arachnida, Araneae, Nephilidae.
GUCCCUGUAGCGCAAUGGAUAACGCGUUGGACUUCUAAUUUAAACGUCAUGGCUUCGAAUUCCAUUUGGGAUG